GACGAACGCUGGCGGCGUGCUUAAUACAUGCAAGUCAACUGAACUUAGGACAGCAAUAUUUUAAGGGAGGUGGCGCACGGGUGAGUAACACGUAGGUAAUCUGCCUUUAGGUCUGACAUAACCUACCGAAAGGUAGGCUAAAAUCAGAUGAUGCAGCGGCUCGACAUCGAGACAGUUGUUAAAUCUUCGGAGCCUAAAGAUGAGCCUGCGUCUGAUUAGGUAGUUGGCGGUGUAAUGGACCACCAAGCCUGCGAUCAGUAGCUGGUCUGAGAGGAUGAUCAGCCACACUGGAACUGAGACACGGUCCAGACUCCUACGGGAGCAGCAGUAAGGAUAUUGCUCAAUGGCCGAAAGGCUGAAGCAGCAACGCCGCGU
RNAcentral lists this ribosomal RNA (375 nucleotides) under uncultured bacterium. RNAcentral describes it as "bacterial SSU rRNA". It matches the Rfam family "Bacterial small subunit ribosomal RNA", at positions 28 to 402 of the family's 1533-position model. The record is from RNAcentral.